Danio rerio (zebrafish) is the source of this 71-nucleotide non-coding RNA. Lineage: Eukaryota; Metazoa; Chordata; Actinopteri; Cypriniformes; Danionidae. The record is from Rfam.
UUCGGUGACGGGUAUUCUUGGGUGGAUAAUACGGCUCUCGUUGUUAUUGCUUAAGAAUACGCGUAGUCGAG